AAGAUAUUAAACCCAUAACACUACUUAGGUAAAUGUCAAUCGCGACGAACAAGGACAACAACCAUAACCAACGCAAUUCCAGAAUCACUGGCAAACCAAUGUCAAGACCAAGGGUGUACUCAAAGACAAGUAAUUAAUCAGCGCAAGGGGACCAUUUGCCCCAAACCAACAAUCCAAAACCCAGCAGCAUACAUUUCAAAACAAGCAUCCCAACAAAAACACACACACCCCUCCCCACACAAAAAUGAGCACUGUCCUCAGGGCAACAACAGCAAACACAAGAAAACGAAAAGAAACAAGGCAGACAGA
RNAcentral lists this long non-coding RNA (309 nucleotides) under Salvia miltiorrhiza (redroot sage). RNAcentral describes it as "long non-coding RNA (SMIL_LNC009816)". The record is from RNAcentral. Lineage: Eukaryota; Viridiplantae; Streptophyta; Magnoliopsida; Lamiales; Lamiaceae.